AGCUAAUCUAUCCUUAAGUCAAGAAUACCCUCGGGAAACUGAGGAUAAAACUUGAUAGGAGAUUUACCCUGGAAAGAUUUAUCUCCCAAACUCGUGCUUAAGGAUGAGGCUGCGGCGGAUUAGGUUGUUGGCGGGGUAAUAGCCCACCAAGCCGAUGAUCCGUAAGGGCUCUUAGCGGAGGAGCCCUGAGAGGGAAUCUGAGACACUAUUCCCAGCCCUACGGGGUGCAGCAGGUAAGAAUCUUCUACAAUGCACGCAAGUGUGAUAGAGUGAGUCAGAGUGAUUUUCUUUAUGAAAAUCUUUUGUGAAAUGUAAAAAGUUUCACGAAUAAGGACUGGGUAAGACUAGUGCCAGCCGCCGCGGUAAUCCUAGCGGUCCAAGUCGCAGCCAUCAUUAUUGGGUAUAAAACAUCCGUAGCUUGCAUUUUGAGUUUCCUGUGAAAUUUUGUAUCUUAAGUACAGAGCGUGCAGGAAGUACUAUUAUGCUAGAGACUGGAAGACGUAAGAAGUACGAUGGAGGUAGUGGUAAAAUACGUUAAUCUUCGUCGGACUCACAACAGCGAAGGCAUCUUACGAGGACAGUUCUGACAGUGAGGGAUGAAGGCUAGGGGCGCAAAAAGGAUUAGAUACCCUUGUAGUCCUAGCAGUAAACACUGCACACUAAACAUUAGUACCUCCUCGAGAGGUAUUGGUGCUGAAGAGAAGUCGAAGAGUGUGCUACCUGGGAAGUAUAGCCGCAAGGCCGAGACUUAA
This 752-nucleotide ribosomal RNA is filed under the name uncultured archaeon. Its description in RNAcentral is "bacterial SSU rRNA". It matches the Rfam family "Archaeal small subunit ribosomal RNA", at positions 102 to 859 of the family's 1478-position model. The record is from RNAcentral.